UACGUAGGGGGCAAGCGUUGUCCGGAUUUACUGGGCGUAAAGCGUGCGCAGGCGGUUUUGUAAGUCAGAUGUGAAAUCCCCGGGCUUAACCUGGGAACUGCGUUUGAAACUACAAGGCUAGAGUGUGGCAGAGGAAAGCGGAAUUCCCGGUGUAGCGGUGAAAUGCGUAGAUAUCCGGAGGAACACCGGUGGCGAAGGCGGCUUCCUGGACCGACACUGACGCUGAGGCGCGAAAGCUAGGGGAGCAAACGGG
This 253-nucleotide ribosomal RNA is filed under the name uncultured bacterium. Its description in RNAcentral is "partial 16S ribosomal RNA". It matches the Rfam family "Bacterial small subunit ribosomal RNA", at positions 524 to 776 of the family's 1533-position model. The record is from RNAcentral.